UGACUUCAUAGGGGUGAACAAUAAAGAUUUGUUUUAUACUGUCAGGUUUGAGGUAACGGUAGGUUAUAUUUACUUUGUGUAUAAUGUAUUAAGGGGAGAUAAUCAAUCCAAAUGACUUCAUAGGGGUGAACAAUAAAGAUUUGUUUUAUACUGUCAGGUUUGAGGUAAUGGUAGGUUAUACUUUGUGUAUGUUGUAUAAAGGGGAGAUAAUCAAUCCAAAUGACUUCAUAGGGGGUGAACAAUAAAGAUUUGUUUUAUACUGUCAGGUUUGAGGUAAUGGUAGGUUAUACUUUGUGUAUAAUGUAUUAAGGGGAGAUAAUCAAUCCAAAUGACUUCAUAGGGGGUGAACAAUAAAGAUUUAUUUUAUACUGUCAGGUUUGAGGUAAUGGUAGGUUAUACUUUGUGUAUGUUGUAUAAAGGGGAGAUAAUCAAUGCAAAUGACUUCAUAGGGG
Molecule: long non-coding RNA, 452 nt
Filed under: Mytilus galloprovincialis (Mediterranean mussel)
Lineage: Eukaryota; Metazoa; Mollusca; Bivalvia; Mytilida; Mytilidae
Source: RNAcentral